AGGCGCAAAUGGGCCAAGCCCGCCGGGCUUCCCGGCUUUUCAAAAAAGCCCGGCCCAAUAGACACCUAUAGCUAAGUCUAGGUGGGGAAAUAUCAGUGAGUGAACCGACUGAGUAGAAAAGAAAACAAAGUACGGUAGUAGUAAAGGAAGGAGACCAUGAGCUUAUCCUUCUCCGGUUCGUACCGCGGUAGAAAUUCCCCACACACAGCACCAAGCUCGGUGCCAGCUCGGUGCCAUGGUUGUUCUAGGAAAAAUCACCAGAGAUCAUGAGGGGGAUUGGUAGUAGUAGUAGACCACAAGCCACACAUAGCCACUGACAUCAACCUCCCCACAGAACCAAGCUCCGGAGUCGUGGCUGCUGCUGAGAAGGUGAGCCAUCGGGGAAAAGAGUGGGAGCAAGAAGGGGCCAAGAAGCAGGCGCUGUAGUGGGGGGAAAUCGAUGAAGGCGGAGGAGAGGAUCACGCCAGCGUAGUUGCGGGCGUCAGAUCGAGGCGUUGCUGGGGUGUACCAGAGGCCAAGAGGAAGGGGAGGUUAGAGGCUGUGAGAGCAGGAGAAAUUCCAUGGGGACCAAAUCUCCCAAAUUAGCACCUCCCCAAAUCACUAACCAAUCAGGUAAGAUCUAGUACUUGAGGGCACCAGGAAUCUGAAUAGAAUUGAUUUCUUGUUUCUACUGUGUGCUGAUGGUAUGCUUGGGUAAGAAAGGUAGGAUUUGGAUCAGAGAAGGGUACUCUCAUAACGCAAUACCAUCACAGGGUUUAAUAGGAAACUGUGAUUUUGUUCUUAGCAAAUUUCUUUCUGAACCUGUGUAUAUAUAUACACCAUACACUUAUACACACAGUUCAGAUUUAGGCCUUAAUAAACAAGAGAGUAUUAGAUCAAUACCAUAUUCCAUUUGGGGAUACAGAGAGAUGGAGUUGGUUAAGAUUAAGUUUAAGCUCUAUUUGCUUUCAGUAAGAGAGAGGUAGAACUAGCUGAUAAGUCUGAUCGGAGGUGAGAAAAUAAGUGUUUGGUUAAUGUAUAUAUGCAGCAGCAUAUUUCAGAUCAUGCCAAGAGAAGUUUAGGUUCAGGCCAUUGAUCAUGUAAACCUCUAUUGAGUCCAGAUUUCUAUAAAAAUGCGUAGUCUGAUAGUAUACAUAACUAUCUGUUGGUUAAUUGAACAACUUCGUGUGCACAUCUCUGGAAAAAAAAUACGAUGAUGAUUUCCUCCUGGUAGUCUAAAACUGUUAGUGUUGCUUUGUACAUGAUCGCCUUACUUGAAUGCCUGUGCAAAUAAGCUGUAGAGAUGAGGUAAACUGAGUCUUGUUGUUUCUAAGGUUAAAAUAGGUAGACUAGUAACUACUCUUCACUAGCAUAUCAACAGUUGUAUGUACCUUGUCUACGUGUCUGAACAGGAGCGUAGUAAGAGUUAACCUGAAACUUGCACAGUAGCUAACCAUUAGCUUCAGGGGAAGAGUUGUACUCCUGCACCACAAGUUCAUCUUCUAGGAAGGGAAUUAAGUUCCAGGAAACCAACCGCAGAUCAAAGUGUCAGUGUAUCGACAACAUGGUUCACGUAUAUACCAUCUUAAUUACUGAACCUUGUAUAGCCAUAAUAAACUGAAGCAUGAUUUGGAUUGAAUCCUCUAUACAGGAACCUUUAAAAUCAACUUAAACCUAGUUGGUCUAGCCUCUGAAUCUAACAAUUCAAUAGAACUAUUCAUGCCAUGGCUUAGCGCAUGAGAACCUCUGGAAUUUAAUCCACCGGGACAUGAAGGUUUGUAGCUCCAAGUUCUCCACUUAAAACUAUAAGAUAAUAAAUCAUCUGAAGAUUGGUAUAUCUGUUAGUCUCUUCUUCUCCCUAGUUCAUACUUAAGUUAUACACUAUUUAGUAGCACACAAGAUCUGAUACCUAAAACUCAUCCAUGAAGCAGAAUUCAAUUUGCAUAAGUUUCCGGGAGAGGUCGACUUAGAAAGUUUGCUUAUCUGUGGUAUUGUGUGAGAUUCUGCUAUCAUCAGUAGAGUAGUUACUGAAGCCUGAAUUGAACUAGCUGACAUACUUCUGUACCAACCAAGUUCAUUGUAGCCCGUGCAUCUGCGUCGUGUUUUGUAUGCCAUUUUGUGUGUUUCUCAUUUGGAUUUCAUUUACUCUCUCCAGUUUGACUCUACUUUGGAACUCUUGGUGUUCAACAUUGAUCUUGAUGAUUUUUGACGAUCUUCCGGGUAUCUCAGGCAAGUCCAGUUCUUGUUCAUAUCUGAUGAUUAUUUUGUAUCAAAGUUUUGCAAUGUAUUCUACUGGUCUCACUUGCAUCGAAAGAAAAUUUAUUUUCGAAAUAAUAUGACAUGAAUCUUGUUGAUCGGCUGCUCAGUCGGUGAACUAUUAUGGCUGGUAGUUCGAACCCUGUUUGGAGGCUGUCAAGCCUGGCUUUCAUGUCGUGGAAGGUGGGUUCGACUACAAAGGAUAUCACCUUAAGGUUUAAUCAACAACUGCCUACUUGUACUCGAGCGCCGUAGCGACCGUGUUGACCACAUGACCCUGUAUGGGCAGGGCUGAGCUGAAGUAAUGCCAUCUUAAUGUCCUACCUCCCUGGGAGCAGUUGGGGUGACCUCUACUGUAGGCGACCAACUGCGAUAGAAGGAAUGACAGUUGGAGGUUGACCUCUACUGUAGGCUACCAACUUGUCAUGGUGGGUAGCUGGUGCCUGUGUUCGCCGGCCAGCCCUGUGAGGUAACGGCAGAUGGGGUGAGUGAAAAGGCUCUGUGUCCAUGAGAAGGUGAAUGGGGCUAGCUACCUCAGACACGUCAUCGUGGGUGUUUGUGGGUAAAGUAACGCACCUCUGCAGAGUGUAUUGAACCGUGGCUUGUCACUCCCUGUUCCGGGUAGGAACUGCGAUCGCGGCGGGAAAGGAGUCCAUAGGGGAUUUUAACAACCCGUGAGGCAAGAAGAGCAUAGAAUUCUAAAUAUAAAACUUGACUCUUUUCUCAGAAAUGUUUGUGAAAAACAUUGCUUAUCUGGGGACCAUGCGUCCUAGUAGAUCAUAGUGCAUUCAAACACUUGUUGCUAUCCUGGACUUGUUGAGUACCUUCUGUACUCAUCCCCUAUGUAAACCUCCUUUGUAUAGGUUACCAACUCUUUAAGGCAUAAGAGAUGUUCUGCUGAUUGUCAAGAUGGAGACGAGGUACCUUAUUGAGCAAUGAAGGAGAUUACUUCGGGAAUACGUCAAGUGUCUAAAGAGUAGGGAACAGUUAGGCCAUAAUUUUUGUGAUUCUUGUAAUUGUUAAGUUGUAUUUUACUUGUAAAGCUAAUUCCAAUUAUUUAUGCAUGACGAAUCCACUGCAAUUGUUUCUGUUUACUACUCUGAGCGGCAUAUUACUUGAGAAAACUUCACUUCACUUGUAAUAUGUCGGAGAUCUGCGUGAUACUGGUUUAGUAGCAAGUCGGGUUGUUACAAUAGGUUCCCAAAUUUUUCAUGUUUUAUUUGUUUGAUCGUCACAUUUGAACAUUGUAUUUGUCUGUCGGACCAUUCUUUAUUUGUUUGAUCGUCACAUUUCAAGAAUUUGAUGUAAUUUGGAUUAUUGUUUCAUUCAUGUGAUGUUUGCAUAUUUAAAUUUGAUUCAAUUUGCUUUCAUAUUGUCUGAAAUGUAUGAACUGAAUCCACUUUCGAUUUUUAACUGUCGGACUGUUGAUUUAUAUUUGCGGUACCAAGUUCCGCAACCGGCAUAACAAAAUCCGCAAACUGAACCGAAUAAGGCUUUUCAGGUCAGUUUUCAAAUUCUGUUUUGCACGGGUCCUUUUCGAUCUGAAGAACACUAAUUCGGUACGCUAAAUACGCGUUUUUUUAGGUCCAUUUUUUUCGGUAACCGCUACAGUUGCUCUAAGCAAAUAGGACCAGUCCUCAGAUCCGAUAACGGACGGCUUGGACCUCAGCGGUGUUGGGAGAGGGAAUCCAAGAGGGGGUCCCCAGGCGCUGAGGAAUCCUCCGACGGCAGCACAGUACACUCGCUCUUUUCGCCGGAGUUUUUCGUCGGUGGCAAGGAUUGAAGGGAUCCAAGACGAUGAGACAGUGUUUCGCAAUUAAUGUCCGCCUACCCCCUGCGCAGCAUAAAUGACCCGGGAAAAAUGCCAAUCCCAGCCAGGACAUGUUCCAUAUUUGAAUUCUUUAACUUUCGGCCCAGCUACGGUUUACCCUGCGGCGGAACAACUUGGACCACCGGACGCGUCAUGUGGCAACGCCGGGGCGGUCCAGAUGUUACUUCGGGUUUGGCCCAGUAUAUUUACUGUACGGACGUACGUUACAUGGGCUUGGCGCGCCCGUAUUCUCCAUUUUCGGAUGUUCUGGCAGAAGAUUUAACACGCGUCGAGGCCCACCGGCCCUAUCCCGAGCAUCGGGUGUACCUGAUUCAGAGCUACCGCUCGUGACUAAAUAUUCUAUGUCCUGGUCUCACACCCCCUUCUUGCCACCACAUCUUUUCACACAGCGCACUUGCUUUCGGAAGAAGUGCUCAAGAUGUUACCAUUUCUUAAACUCAGUUUGAUGAAUUGUGAUGCGCUGAAUUUAUUUUAUAAUUUGUUGUGCAAAAUAUAUAGAAAAGUAGAAAAAAAUUGGUUAGUCAAAGACGAAAAUAGUGAAAAGCGGAUGAAUAAAGGAAUUAUAAGAAUCCACCGCAAUGCUUACUUUGCUGGUGACAAAUGUCUUUCUGCUUUCUAUCUGGUACAGAAUUGCAGAACUUCGUCCUUUGGCAGGAGGAUUACAACAACCUGACACCAGAGUUAUCAUGGAGCCGAUUUGUACUGUCUACCAUCUGCGCUUAUUAGUAAGGCCAGCUCUGAGUAUAAUUUUAAGAAUCCAAGAUACUGAUCUUUUUUUUUUGCGGGUAGCAAGAUACAAGAUGCUAAUCUUAUUCCUGUUGAUUCCAAAAGUUCACUGCAUACUCAAUUUAAGAUCUUUUGUACGGUUACGUUCGUUGAGUUGACUAUCUUAUAAGAAUAUUAUGGUUCCCGCAUGUCUCACGAUUGAUGAAUGUUUUUGUCUUCUUUGGUGAAAAAUUGUACCAUGCUAGGAAACAAACUUCAUUCAAUAUAUAUUUUAGAAUAGGCCCAAAUACACUGUUGAGUUUUUUUCUCAAUUUGUAUGUGUUGAUAUAACUGCUGUCCUCUUUCAUUCUUCAUCGAUGAAGAACUUGUCAAUCAAGUUACUGAAAAAUUUAUACACCAUUGAAUCAAUAUGGAUAUGCCUAUAUGAUACUCCCUCCGAUCCUAAAUUGUUGUUAUGGUUUUAGUUCAAAUUUGUACUAAAACCACGACAAAAAUUUAGAAUCGGAGUGAGUAUGUGGUUUCUGCUGUACUCAAUUAAGAUAUUCGAUGAACUAUUUUUAUGAAAGAAAACUGUAGGAGAUGCGAUAUUCGAUGAAGGACAGUUGUUUCGUGUUCUUUUUAAUUGAUAUAUUGUAAUUUAUAUUAAAACUAGCAGGUGUGUCCGCGCGUUGCUACGGGUCAACAAAUUACAAACUAUUUAUUUUUAUUUCUAUGUAGGCAACUCAUUGUGCCGUCGAGGUCGGCAUGCGGGUGUGGUGGCGUCGGUUGUAAGAUGGAGUAGGAGAAAUCGUGAAAAAAACUGGAGGAAAAGAAAAUAACAGGCAGUGGCAUAUUGAUUGUAAUUUUAACGAAAUUAACCUACGGCAACUCAUGGCGCCGUCGAGGUCGGCAUGCGGGUGUGUUGGUGUCGGUUGUAAGACGGAGUAGAAGAAAUCGUGAAAAAAACUGAAGGAAAAAAAAAUAACAGGCAGUGACAUAUUGGUUAUAAUUUUAACGAAGUUAAUCUACUGCGACGACGUACCAUCACCACCAACUCCAAUUUAAUAUAUUGGUAUAGAUACUUUUCUGAUGCAUUGUUAGAUCUCUUCUUUUGUUCACAGUUACUGGGGCUGGCAGGGUUUUUAUCAUUUCCUGUCCAUUCAAGACCCAGUUUAGGGGUUUCUAUGUUGGCAUUGUUUAUUAUUGGCAGCUACAUAAUAUUUGCUCAAAGGCUUUAUCAUUAGUCAGUUACCCAUAUGUCAUUUGUCAUGUCAAAUUGGCUCGCUCACUCGGUUUUAGAAGGUUUAUCAGCAGCCCACUUGGUUCAUGUGUCAUGAAGGACAAAUGUUAGCUUUUUUUUUUUACUUAUCCAUGAAAAGCGCCCGUAACUGUUACAAUUCACGUCGGACAGAGAAUUAUUUUGAUUCAGAAGCCCAAGGUUCUCUUUCUGAAUAGAACUGAUGGGCCAGACAUGCAAAUUAUGGCCUGCCUUUGAUGCCCAAAAGUUGUGUUCUCAGGUUAGUUGUUCUUCAAAUGCUUGCAAAUGUGUGAGCGCUCAGUGCUAUGGACUUAAGAUGCAACAGUAAGCCCACAAAUUACAGUGGGAAACCUUUAAGUAAUAAAAAUGUUAAUGCAUGCAUUUACCUGUCAGUAGAACUCCCAGGAAACAAUCAGUAUAAUUCCAAGAAUGCUAAAGCUUGACUUCUCUGCCUUCGAAUGAGCAUGGAAAUUUUUCUAUAAAGAACAUGAAAAUGCCAAGGAGCGUAACAGAAGCAGAUGAAAUGAUAAAUUAACAGAAAUAUGCGUAGUGUUUUCAGAAAGACAAGUAUCAAGAAGACACAAGAUGUUUUGCAAAGGAGUUAUUAUCUCAAUUCAUAAACCUACCCUCUAGAUUGACUCUACAAUAAAUAUCUCAAUUAACCUAGUGUAAAUUCUGUGAGUCAGAAGUAACUUCCAUUCAUGGCAAGAUUAUGUUAAUAAUGAAUUAUGUACUUUGUCUGCUCCGUGUUUACCUUCACUCUCCCUUUCAGCAGCUUGCAGUUGAAAUAGUACCUGAAACAAGCAGGCAAAUGAGGUUGGCUCACAGCAAAAAAGAAGUUGAUAUGAAACAAAGCAAAAGAUGAGAUUGUGCGUACACCUCCCAACCUGAAAUCUGGUCAAAAAGAAAAAAAAAGAAAAAUCACAUGUCACAUCAGGAGCUCGCAAAAUAAACUCUUCAAAGUUCUGAGCUAAAGCUAAACCCAUGAAUCAGGAGAGCAUAUAAUAUUUGCACAAUCAUAUCUAGGCAAUAAAGGUCUUUUUAUGGUUAAUAUGCAAAGAUAGUGUUGUAGGUCCUUGUAUGGAAUAGUAGUUGAGUUGAGGGAGUAAACAGAAAAGGCCUGUAAAUCAUAUAUCUGUUGUACGAGAGAGUGAAAGAGGAAGUGAGAAGUUUCCUGAAAAAACUUGUGUUCAUGUCCACUGUAGGAACUCCUUGACGGCGAUCCACAUCCACGAGCAACAUGGUAUCAGAGCGGGGCUGGGAUUCGCGCCGGUGUGGCACCGAUUGACGGCGCAGGUUGCUGAAGAUUGAAGGCGGAGGCUCCAGGACCGAUUCGCAGAGGAGGGAAGCCGGAUCGGGGCCGGUGCAGGUCAGUGUGAAGUGAAAAAUUGGAGAAGGCCGGGGAGUCAGUUGGAGGCAGCGCAGCGGGCAUACGCGGUGCCGGUCAGCAAGGAGGGCGCAGGUGGUGGCAUCAUCAAGGUGACGACGUUCUGCCACAGUAGCGACUCAGUUCGGUGUCAGGCAUUUGUGGGCGUGUGAAGAGGUGUGGCCGCAAUACUGGAAGUCGACGGUGCACUGCAGAAGUGAUUGGUGAGUUGUGGUUGCUGUAUAGGUGAUUGGUGCUGGGGCAGUGUGAAUCUGUGCAGCAAAACUUGGAGAGGGGAGAAUUUGGAUAAAUUCUGAGAAUGCCAAGGUGACUGCUGCAAGGUGGAAAACAAGGUAAUUUGGACGCUGGAUUUGGAGGCAGGUUGCAAGGCGUGUGUGGAAGAAGUGAGUACUUGCUGAGUCAGGUAAAAGCUAGAGGACAAGGCUACUGCUUAAUUUGAGUUGUGCUUCCUCAAGAGGUUGUGUGCUGCUUGUUGAUUAAUUAGUAACUGGUGGGUUCCUUAGUCAUCUGGCCGGAGUAAAUAAUAGUUUAUCAUCUGGCUGAGUUUGUUGGUCCGUGUUGUCCAUCUUGAGUAAAGAACAUGUGUGCACGAAGAGCGUUUGAAGAAAUGCCAAAGCAGACUAAUUCACCUCCUAGAAGAUACAAUGUGUGGUACUGUGACUAUUGUGGAAGACGUGGUCAUUUAAAGGAUUUCUGCUGGAAUCUUAGUGGCACAUCAUUGAAAUACUCCAAUCACUUCAGGUGUGGUAGUGACAGUGCACAUGAUUAUGUGGUUAGUAAGGGAGAAUCACACACUGCGAAGGUACAAAUGACACGAUGAGUUGAAGAAAUGGCUCAAAUUUAAGAAGGUGAGCGCUUGUGAUCAGCCAAUCAUUGAGAUGACUGCAGUAUCUGCUGGUCCCAACAAUAAUAUUCAGCGUCCUGCCAAAUAUAUACACAAUCACACUAGUGCACCAUGGCUGAUUGACUCUGGCGCAUCAAGACAUAUGGUGGGUUCUCAUAAGGAAUUUUCAAAAGGGCCUGCCUAUUGCUCAGGCGACUGAGAAAUCACUAUUUCUCAGUCGAUUGGAUUGUUAUGAGCUUCGUUUUUGCGUUUUUGUUUUUUUUUCUAUUUUCUGUUUCUCGAAUGGGCUAGUUGUUUCAUGGGCUAUUUGUUGGGCUUGUAUGUCUUUGUCAAUUCACUCUACUGAAUAUCUGGACUUCUAAUCCGAAAUACAAAACACAUAAAAGCACUUGGUGCCUAGACCAGCCCCCCUCCUGUCCCCAUGGGAAAAAAAGGAAAAAAAGGGGUACUACCUAAAAAGAAGCCGAUAAUUAAUGGAAAGAAAACCCAGAUUAGGCAAGGGAACCCCACGGCACGGGCAAAAAAAAUACUAAGUUGACUGCACAUAAGGCACGCGACAAAAAAAGUAGAUAAAAUUCGGAAUAUGUAAGUGCAAGACAAAAAGUAGAAAAAGAAAGUUUACUGAUGAAAUUUUUAUUAGAAGUAGAAUAUGCAGUAGUAUAACACAAACUCACAUUGGACCUGUUUCAGGCUCGCAGAAACAACACAACCGAUAAACAGAAUAAAACAGAUAGUUGCACAUAUUGAUCCAUGAUAUGCAACUCGUCUCUCUAGCACCAUACUAAGUUGCACACGCAGACAGAACGUGUGCAACACCCAAACCCUAACCUCCCUAUUUUCAAUCGCACAUGUUGACCCGUGGUGUGCAACUCGGACAUGGAAAAAGUGAUAUGAAAGGACAACUCAACAAACAAAGGACACUCUUGAACCCCCACCUCCCUAUUUUUGGUUGCACAUGUUGAUCCGUGGUCUGCAACUCGUCCUCUCUAAGACCAUACUAAGUUGCACGUGCAGUCAACUCGGACAUGGAAAAAGUGAUAUGAAAGGACAACUCAACAAACAAAGGACACUCCAAAAUCCCCACCUCCCUAUUUUCGGUUGCACAUGUUGAUCCAUGUUGUGCAACUCGUCUUAUCUAGGACCAUAUUAAGUUGCACAUGCAGACAAGCCAUGUGCAAUUCAGACCUGGAAAAAGCGAUACGAAAAGACAACUCAACAAACAAAGGACACUCCUAAACCUCCACCUCCCUAUUUUCAGUUGCACCUGUUGAUCCGUUGUCGUAGCACGGGGCUCAGACACCGGGGAUGCAUGAGCACCCCCUUUUAGGUUCGGCAGUGGGUGUGGGGGAUUGCUCCGGCGAUCGCCGGCGAGGCCAAUGUCAAGCGUGAGGGAACACACGAUCGUUUUACCUAGGUUCGGGCCACCCUGAGGUGUAAAACCUUACGUCCUGCUUCUGUGUUCUUAUUAGCCGGUGAAUAAGGGUUUACAAGUUGAUGGGGAGUCCCCGGGUGCUCUCUCCUUUACUGCUAAGUACUACUUGCUAUUUCUGGCUAGAACUAGUAGUGAACCGAACCGAACCUUUUGACCAUUGGCGGGGGUCCUCCUUUUAUACUCAAGGGGAUACCACAGGUGCCUUGGUGCAUGGGUGACAAGUGGCGAGCAAAGAACUAGGGCAGCUUGCCCUCGCUGCGCUGGCCCGCAUGCAUGGCGAGUAGCUCUGCAACUAGGGGCUACGUGCCUUGGAUUCACAGCGGGCCAGUCAUUGUAACCUGACUGGACAGGAAAUCCCCUUUCUGUCGGAGCAUUAAAUGCUUUGCUUGUGCUUCACUCCUCGCCCUGACGAGCCCUGCGCACAGGGAGCCCGCCAGGCGGCCACAUGGUGUCGUUGUCCUGCCCGCUUGGUCCCGCUCCUGUAACGGGUGCCUGCACCCGGAAACGCCCUCCCCGGCAAGUGACCUUCCCGGGAAGCGCCCAGGAGGGAAUCCUCUCGUUGCCUUCCAGGGCAACCCCCGUAGCCCGGCUAGCCCUGCCGGGCUGGCGACUUGCCGGGCAGCUUGUGCGGUGCUGCCUGGGGUGCUAUCCUUGCAGGGAGCAAGCAAGGCGACCCACGCGUCAUGCAGCGGUGGUACCCCGGGUGUCACUAGUGCGACAUCCGUUAUGUGCAACUCGUCCUCUCUAGGACCAUACUAAGUUGGACAUGCAGACAAGCCGUGCGCAACUCGGACAUGAAAGAAGCGAUACGAAAGGACAACUCAACAAACAAAGGACACUCCUAAGCCCCCACCUCCCUAUUUUCGGUUGCACAUGUUGAUCCGUGGUGUGCAACUCGUCCUCUCUAGGACCAUACUAAGUUGCACAUAUAGUACCGUGAUGUGCAACUAAACACGCUAUGAGGCAUAUUAAGUUGCGCAUCCUGGAACAUGAUGUGCAAGUCAUCCGGAAGUGGCUUGGACAAAAAGAACCUACAUGGUAUUGUUUUCGGACUCUUUAGCAUUCAUACUAAGUUGCACAUGUAGGGGCAUGAUGUGUAAGUAACCCCCGCAGCGGGGUUCACAACCCAAACCCAAAUAAAAUACACACAUUAGGGUUUUUUAUGUCCGGUUCUAAAAAAAAUUCUUAGUUUUACUUGCACAUUGUGGAAAAUAUGAGAUUGGAACCCUAAUGUGAGUUGUUGUAUUGAUCUGACCCUCAUGGGGUAUAUAUAGAGGUACAAAAGGGAGAGAUAGACUUGGAGUACAAGACAAAUAAUUUGUUCAAAAUGAUUCUAUCUUAUCUUUUUAAUCCCAACAAUAUUGUAUCUCUAACACACAUCCUAAACAUGAUGUGCAAGUCAUACCAGGAAAAAAGAGAACCUACAUGGUGUUGUUUUCGAACUCCAAAACCCCCUAAUUGCACUUGGUCAAACUUGAUAUGCAGCUCAUACCGGAAACAGAAAGGCUCAAAAAAGGUUUACACAGUCUGUGUUUUGGUGUGCAACUAAACUCUCUAGUAACCAUACUAAGUUGCACAUGUAGGACCAUGAUGUGCAAGUCAUCCGCCACUUGCUCCAAAGAAAAAUUGCAUAUAAUUGAAUACAAAACUCCAAAACUCCCAAUUGCACAUGUUACGACAUGAUGUGCAACUCAUCCAAAAAAUGGUCUCUCUAAAACCCCAUGGUUGCGCAUGCAAAGGGGCAAAGAGCCCAAAACGGAAAAAAUUAUAGUUUAUAAAACUGGCCUUCCAGUGGACGACAUUAGCGAAUAUCGAGGGUUAAGAGAUUGUGCGCCGCAUCCAAUGCAGAAACUUAACACCUAACACAUAUUACAUGUCCUGGAAAAUAAAGCCACUAACAGCUAAGAAGCAUUCAUGUUUUGAUAAAGAACAUUAAUCUACAUACAAGAACCAUGCAUCUAUCCAAAACAAAAAUAAAAAAGCUUUGUGCUGGGCGGGGGUACCGCAUCCCAUCGCCGCAUCACGUGAACAAAAAAAAUGCAAGAACCUAACAUGCCCACCGCCUACCUCCCUAGCAUACAUAAACCCAACAUACAAAAAUACAUAAGAGACAAGGAGGGGGGUACUCUAUUAUCCAAUAUGGGUUUUUUAUAUCAAGAUUAAUUCUGCCAAAAAAAGACUCAAUAGUCAAAAAAAUCACCUACCGAGAACCAACAUUCUAUAUUAGAGUUCUGAACUUCUCAAUUUGACGGAUAAUUUAACUCUCAACUGAACUAAAUCGUGAUAAAAAGGGAUAAAAAAAACAUUGCCCUCCCUAACAAAAACACACACGCCCCCUGCCGGCAAGCUCAAAAUCUCCCCCCCCCCUACCACCAUACCCACAUCACGUAAACCCAUAAUCAACAACCAACAAGCGGUCUAUUCGCCUCUAUCGAAUCAUAGAUACACAUACACACAAACAAACCCUAGAUGCAGAACGAGGAAGAGGAGAAAAUUUACCAGGAUCUGGGAGCUGGCCGAGCAAUCCGGCAAGACGGGUGCAAAGCUCCGGCGAUGGAGCUCCUCUCCCGCGCCCCAUCGCCCUCCGCCUUGCCUCUAUCGGUGAGAAAGAAAUGCUCACAGGGAAGAGCACACGCAGAACUCCCCCCAUCCCCCAUUAUGCAUAGUUGGGCGAUGAGAGAAACGCUCACAGCGAAAAGCCCAAACCACACGCGCGUUUGGAGCCCAUAACAGAAAACAAAGCCCCCUAGACAAAACACAGCCCACCCACUAACCCAGCCCGGGGACAAACAAAACAAAAACAAACGCACGAAUCUCCGUGUGGCCAAACAAAUCAACGGUCUGUGUAGGUCGACUGAGAAAUAAGUAUUUCUCAAUCGCCUGAUCAAUAGCAAUUCCGAAACAAAAUUGUCUCAGCUUCAGCUUCGGAAGAGCAAGCACAGGAAGGCAGCUUCUUCCAAGCCAUCAGAAGAACUUCACCAUUGCAGUUUCAGACGAUGCACCCUGCAAACGCAUCGCCAGAGUUGUGGUCGAACAUUGAAGCCACGUUCAGCUUCGCCCAGCCCACUGGAGGUGGCGCCC
RNAcentral lists this long non-coding RNA (12773 nucleotides) under Brachypodium distachyon (stiff brome). Its description in RNAcentral is "long non-coding RNA (BDIS_LNC000302)". Lineage: Eukaryota; Viridiplantae; Streptophyta; Magnoliopsida; Poales; Poaceae. The record is from RNAcentral.